Molecule: ribosomal RNA, 1253 nt
Filed under: Wolbachia endosymbiont of Drosophila chauvacae
Lineage: Bacteria; Pseudomonadati; Pseudomonadota; Alphaproteobacteria; Rickettsiales; Anaplasmataceae
Description: partial 23S ribosomal RNA
Rfam family: Bacterial large subunit ribosomal RNA
Source: RNAcentral
CAAACCGACACUGGUGGAUGAGUAGAGUAUACUAAGGUGUUGAAAGAAUGAUGUUGAAGGAACUCGGCAAAUUAUACCUGUAACUUCGGAAGAAGGGUAACCUGCUUUUAGGCAACUAUGAGUAGGUGGCACAAAAUAGGGAGUAGCGACUGUUUACUAAAAACACAGGACUCUGCAAACACGUAAGUGGAAGUAUAGGGUCUGACGCCUGCCCGGUGCUGGAAGGUUAAUAGGAAGGGUGCAAGCUCCGAAUUGAAGCCCCAGUAAACGGCGGCCGUAACACUGACGGUCCUAAGGUAGCGAAAUUCCUUGUCGGGUAAGUUCCGACCCGCACGAAUGGCGUAACGAUUUCUCCACUGUCUCCAACAUCACUUCAGCGAAAUUGAAUUCCCCGUGCAGAUGCGGGGUACCCGCGGUUAGACGAAGAGACCCCGUGCACCUUUACUAUAGCUUUACAUUGCUAUUAAAAGUGUGAUGUGCAGGAUAGGUGGGAGACUUUGAAGUUAUGGCGCUAGCUAUAAUGGAGUCAACCUUGAGAUACCACCCUUUACACUUUUGAUAUCUAACUAUGUUUCAUUAUCUGGAACUAGGACAUUGUAUGGUGGGUAGUUUGACUGGGGCGGUCGCCUCCUAAAAAGUAACGGAGGCGUGCGAAGGUAAGCUAGAGCUGGUCGGAAAUCAGCUUGAUAGUAUAAUGGCAUAAGCUUGCCUGACUGCGAGGCUGACAAGCCAAGCAGAGACGAAAGUCGGUCAUAGUGAUCCGGUGAUUCUGUAUGGAAGGGUCAUCGCUCAACGGAUAAAAGGUACGCCGGGGAUAACAGGCUGAUGGUGUUCGAGCGUUCAUAGCGACGACACCGUUUGGCACCUCGAUGUCGACUCAUCACAUCCUGGGGCUGAAGAAGGUCCCAAGGGUUCGGCUGUUCGCCGAUUAAAGUGAUACGUGAGUUGGGUUUAGAACGUCGUGAGACAGUUCGGUUUCUAUCUGCCGUGGGUGAAGGAAAUUUGAGAAGGUCUGACUCUAGUACGAGAGGACCGAGAUGGAUAUACCUCUGGUGUACCAGCUGUUAUGCCAAUAGCAUCGCUGGGUGGCUAUGUAUAGAUGGGAUAAUUGCUGAAAGCAUAUAAGCAAGAAACCCUCUUCAAAAAGAUUUCCCAAUUAAGGCCGUGGAAGACUACCACGUUGAUAGGCUAGGUGUGGAAGCAUGGUAACAUGUGAAGCUAACUAGUACUAAUAGCCUGAUUGAUUUAUUUGC